RNAcentral lists this long non-coding RNA (705 nucleotides) under Helianthus annuus (common sunflower). RNAcentral's name for it is "hypothetical non coding rna". The record is from RNAcentral. Lineage: Eukaryota; Viridiplantae; Streptophyta; Magnoliopsida; Asterales; Asteraceae.
GUGCUCUUGAUCAUUAUGCAACCAAUUCAAACCAAACCGACCCGUUUUCGAAUCCCCUUCUCUUUCGUUUCCUUUCCAUGGCCAUGUAAUUCCCUUUUUACCCAUCCAUGCCUCUGCUUUUGACGAUAAUAUCUUGUGGAUACCGGGUUUGUUUUCACUAUCAUCACCGGAAUCUGUCGAGUGUUUUCCGGUAAAUUGGUCUUUAAACGGGGUUUGAGAAAUAUCACCCCUUGGGGUGCUCGCUCCACUUGAAUAUCCAUCGUCUUUAUGAUCAGCGGCGUUUAAGUCGUUUUCGGAAUAAUGACCGUCUCCACUCGCUUCAUGAUCCAUGAAGUUUUCUCCGGUUUUUAUUUUGGAUUUUACCUUGUUGCUAACUUUUGAAGCCUGUUGCGAUUGCAGUUUGUAGAGGUUGUUGAGGAUCAAGCCCAAGUUUAGCGGAAGCAAUUCUCCUUGGUGCACUAAUAUUCCCGACGGGCUUCAUUUCUCGAUACGGGCGGGUAUCACAUGAUACACAUAUAACCCCAACUAAUGUCCCAUUCUCAUCACGAAACGGCGUAUUUGUCGCAAUAAUAACAAAUUUUUCCCCUCUUUUGUUCCUGAUCGGAAAUUGACCCGACCAACCUUCCCCCUUUAUCGUUCUUUGUAUGAUAGCAUCUGCUAAGUGAUACGCAUCCGGUUCUACGAAAAGCUCAUUGGGUGAUCUUC